GCGGGCAGCAGGGAGGACAACGUGGAAAGGCAACGGCCAGGAGGAAAAGGCGGGAAACAGCGGGAAGGGAGGUUCGCCUCCCCACUCUUCCUGUGCCGACCUCCCACCUCACUUACAAAAAUCACCACCGACAUUUGGGAACCAUGCACGCUGACUGAAAGCAAAGCUCAGCUGACCUGUGGGGAGUCCCCUGGGCGCUGCCGCGGUGGUCGCCGUUGAGUCCAUCCGUGCCGCUGGGCCGAGGCAGCUGGAGAUGUGGUCAAUGGGCUUAUGGGCAUGGCUGUGGUACCCCAUCAUUCCCCCGCCCCACAUGACUCUGCUUUCCCAGCUGGACUGCUCACUUCAGACUUCCCUUAUGGAAGGAGUUGACAGAUAGAGCAAGCAAAAUACAGUGUGCCAGACACAGGUUUAUUUUAACACUGGGAAGGCUCCAUUCCUACUUAAACCCAACAGGGAACAGGGAGCGGUGUGCAGAGGAGGUGGCCUGCCCGUGAAGCCGGCCUUGGUGCUGGGACUGCAGGGAGAGGGCUGUGAGGAAGAACACAGGCUUCAUGCACAUUGCACAGAGGAGGAGAUUCAUGGGGACAGCAGGCACUGGUUAGCCACAGCGGGAAGGUUAUCGAAGACAAAACACAUUUCUACCCAAGUUCAAAUGACCCGUUAUGCCCACAGAGCUCGAUCCAGAAGCGCACAGUAGAGACGGAGUUUCACCGUGUUAGCCAGGAUGGUCUCGAUCUCCUGACCUCGUGAUCCACCUGCCUCGGCCUCCCAAAGUGCUGGGAUUACAGGCGUGAGCUUUUAAUAAAUAUAAAUACACAGGUAAUUUUAACACAUAUUCCUGAUGAAAUCAUUAUUAUUUGCAAUGCUUUCAUUCUGCUUUUUCUCUUAACAAUGGCAUAAACAUUUUUCAAGGUCAAUAAAUGUUUUUCAAAAUCACAUUUGUAUUAGUGGCUGUAUAGUUUUCUAUCAAAUGUGGAAGAAACUCAAUUUAUUUCUCCCUUUUGUUCUUGAACAUUUAAGAUCAUUGGUUCAUGGUUACUAAUCAUGUUACAACAAAUAUUUGUGUAUUCCAAAUUUUGCUCAUUCCUGGUUAUUUCCUUAGAUUUCCAGGUAUGGAAUAAUUAGGUUGAAGUGUUUGAAAUCUUUUUUUGUUUGUUUGUUUGUUUUGUUUUUGAGAUGUAGCUUCCCUCUGUUGCCCAGGCUGGAGUGCACUGGCAUGAUCUCAAUUCCCUCACUGCAACCUCUGCUGCCUGGUUCAAGUGACUCUCCUGCCUCAGCCUCCUGAAUAGCUGGGAUUACAGGUGCACACCACCAUGCCCGGCUAAUUUUUGUAUUUUUAGUAGAGACAGGGUUUCACCAUGUUGGCCAGGUGGGUCUCAAACUCCUGACCUCAGAUGGUCCUUCUGCCUUGGCCCCCCAAAGUGCUGGGAUUACAGGCGUGAGCCACUGCACCCUGCCGAAGUGUUUGAAAUCUUUAAGCAUCGUGGUAAAUAUUGAGUUUUGUCAAUAUUUAGAAAAGUUGCAUGAAUUUACAUGUCUUCCAGCCAUGUUUGAGAGCAUCUGAUUUGUCAGACCCUCACCAAAAAUGGGCUUUUAUCAAAACGUAAUAAAAAAAAUACAACUUUUCCAAUGACAAAA
Molecule: long non-coding RNA, 1638 nt
Organism: Symphalangus syndactylus (siamang)
Lineage: Eukaryota; Metazoa; Chordata; Mammalia; Primates; Hylobatidae
Source: RefSeq, a predicted model, not a curated record